Capra hircus (goat) is the source of this 107-nucleotide small nuclear RNA. NCBI's taxonomy places the organism in Eukaryota, Metazoa, Chordata, Mammalia, Artiodactyla, Bovidae. The record is from Ensembl.
GUGCUCACUUCAGCAGCACAUAUACUAAAAUUGGAACAAUACAGAGACAAAUAGCAUGGCCCUUUCACAAGGAUGACAUGAAAAUUCGUGAAGAGUUCCAUAUUUUU